CCUACGGGAGGCAGCAGUGGGGAAUAUUGGGCAAUGGGCGCAAGCCUGACCCAGCAACGCCGCGUGAAGGAAGAAGGCUGUCGGGUUGUAAACUUCUUGUAAGAGGGAAGAGCAGAAGACGGUACCUCUGGAAUAAGCCACGGCUACCGACGUGCCAGCAGCCGCGGUAAUACGGAGGUGGCAAGCGUUGUCCGGAUUUACUGGGUGGAAAGGGCGGGUAGCCGGGCUGACACGUCAGAUGUGAAAUUCCGGGGCUCAACCCCGGACCGGCCUUUGAAACUGUUGGUCUUGAGUAUCGGAGUGGCAGGCGGACUUCCUCUUGUAGCGGUGCACUUCGUCGACAUUAGGAGGACCCCCAGUGGC
RNAcentral lists this ribosomal RNA (363 nucleotides) under uncultured bacterium. Its description in RNAcentral is "partial 16S ribosomal RNA". It matches the Rfam family "Bacterial small subunit ribosomal RNA", at positions 338 to 716 of the family's 1533-position model. The record is from RNAcentral.